UCUCUCUCUCUCUGUUUCCUGUUUUUGGGUGUGUGAAUGUGUGUUUUUCAUUGUAGUUGAUAUUUUCCUUUUCUAUGGUUUGCUUUCUUCCUUUUGUCUAUUUAUGUUUAUGUUAGCUGUAACACUCCCAGUGGUUGCAGUUUUAUUUACUUGUGGCAAUCAUUACUUGAAUCUUUGGGAAAGAAAGUCAUCAACGAUCAUGGCAUAAAAUAUCUGCAAUCAAAGGCUUUGCCUUGAGAGGGGUCAGUAAGCCUCAGGAAUCAUAUCCUUCAUCAUGUAAGAGGACAAGCACUCAUGCAAGAGGACAACCAAAAAACAGUAUGAGAAUAUGUUUGACACUAA
Hevea brasiliensis (rubber tree) is the source of this 342-nucleotide long non-coding RNA. RefSeq lists it as uncharacterized. NCBI's taxonomy places the organism in Eukaryota, Viridiplantae, Streptophyta, Magnoliopsida, Malpighiales, Euphorbiaceae. The transcript is spliced from 2 exons. The record is from RefSeq and is a predicted model, not a curated record.